Molecule: long non-coding RNA, 568 nt
Organism: Corvus hawaiiensis (hawaiian crow)
Lineage: Eukaryota; Metazoa; Chordata; Aves; Passeriformes; Corvidae
Exons: 2
Source: RefSeq, a predicted model, not a curated record
CCUGUGAAGAUAAGAGAAUGCCUAUGCCAGGCCAUAUAGAAGCAGUGAAAGCCUUCUAGAGAUUUUGAAGAAGAGAGCUUUUGUUUCUAGGCUAGAAUAACUCAUCCUUAAAAGACUGAAACCCUAUGUUAUUAUGGCCCAUGACUGCAGUGUGAAAAGACUGUGAGAUUUCAUGGGAGAGAUGUUUUUCCACCUCAGCAGACUGGUUUUUUUCCAGGCAGACUUUUGCUGGUGACAGUUUGGAAACCACAUUAAAGCAGAAGAAACUCUUUUUCCUUAAAUAUUGCAGAGACUUUUAAGAACUGCAAUAAUGACCAAAUCCCAUGCCUUGUUAUCCCUAGUGCGGGAAGAAAAUACAUGAGGACCACAUCAUGCCCAAGAUCCCGAGGAGUAUGCGAGUGGAACAAAGAGGGGAGAAAAUUCAUUGCUGCAUGAACCAAAUCUGGGACACCAAAUUUUUUGAACGGUAUCCCCCAAGCUUGUACAGGUCCAUUGCUUCAGCAUUUUGUUAGGGAACCUUGUGGGCUGCAUUGCUUCUGCCUGAAGCUGAGGGCUCAGUUUAAACUUU